AAUUGACGGGGCCCGCACAAGCGGUGGAGCAUGUGGUUUAAUUCGAAGCAACGCGAAGAACCUUACCAGGUCUUGACAUCCCCUGACAACCCAAGAGAUUGGGCGUUCCCCUUCGGGGGACAGGGUGACAGGUGGUGCAUGGUUGUCGUCAGCUCGUGUCGUGAGAUGUUGGGUUAAGUCCCGCAACGAGCGCAACCCUCGCCUCUAGUUGCCAGCAUUCGGUUGGGCACUCUAGAGGGACUACCGGCGACAAGUCGGAGGAAGGUGGGGAUGACGUCAAAUCGUCAUGCCCCUUAUGACCUGGGCUACACACGUGCUACAAUGGGCGGUACAAAGGGCAGCGACACAGCGAUGUGAAGCGAAUCCCGAAAAGCCGGUCUCAGUCCGGAUUGGAGUCUGCAACUCGACUCCAUGAAGUUGGAAUCGCUAGUAAUCGCGGAUCAGCACGCCGCGGUGAAUACGUUCCCGGGCCUU
RNAcentral lists this ribosomal RNA (474 nucleotides) under uncultured Geobacillus sp. RNAcentral describes it as "bacterial SSU rRNA". It matches the Rfam family "Bacterial small subunit ribosomal RNA", at positions 908 to 1382 of the family's 1533-position model. Lineage: Bacteria; Bacillati; Bacillota; Bacilli; Caryophanales; Anoxybacillaceae. The record is from RNAcentral.